This 570-nucleotide ribosomal RNA is filed under the name uncultured bacterium. RNAcentral's name for it is "bacterial SSU rRNA". It matches the Rfam family "Bacterial small subunit ribosomal RNA", at positions 280 to 847 of the family's 1533-position model. The record is from RNAcentral.
UGCGUAGGGGUUCUGAGAGGAAGGUCCCCCACACUGGUACUGAGACACGGACCAGACUCCUACGGGAGGCAGCAGUGAGGAAUAUUGGUCAAUGGCCGGGAGGCUGAACCAGCCAAGUCGCGUGAGGGAAGACGGCCCUACGGGUUGUAAACCUCUUUUGUCAGGGAGCAAGAGGCGGGUCGAGACCUGCUGUGAGAGUACCUGAAGAAAAAGCAUCGGCUAACUCCGUGCCAGCAGCCGCGGUAAUACGGAGGAUGCGAGCGUUAUCCGGAUUUAUUGGGUUUAAAGGGUGCGCAGGCGGAGGCACAAGUCAGCGGUAAAAUCGCGGGGCUCAACCCCGCUCCGCCGUUGAAACUGUGUCCCUUGAGUGCGCGAAGGGUAGGCGGAAUGCGUGGUGUAGCGGUGAAAUGCAUAGAUAUCACGCAGAACUCCGAUCGCGAAGGCAGCCUACCGGCGCGCAACUGACGCUCAUGCACGAAAGCGUGGGUAUCGAACAGGAUUAGAUACCCUGGUAGUCCACGCAGUAAACGAUGAAUGCUAUCUGUCCGGCCGGAAUGACGGCUGGGUGGC